Molecule: small nuclear RNA, 171 nt
Filed under: Oryctolagus cuniculus (rabbit)
Lineage: Eukaryota; Metazoa; Chordata; Mammalia; Lagomorpha; Leporidae
Description: U1 spliceosomal RNA (ENSOCUG00000023834.2)
Rfam family: U1 spliceosomal RNA
About the family: U1 is a small nuclear RNA (snRNA) component of the spliceosome (involved in pre-mRNA splicing). Its 5' end forms complementary base pairs with the 5' splice junction, thus defining the 5' donor site of an intron.
Source: RNAcentral
AUACUUACCUGGCAGGGGAGAUACCAUGAUCACGAAGGUGAUUUUCCCAGGGUGAGGCUCACCCAUUGCACCAUGCUGUUUUGAUUACAACUGCCCUGUAGUAUGUCCUGAAAUCUGGUAUUGUGAUGCCUCCAGCUUUGUUUUUGUUGUACAAGAUUGCUUAAGAUAUUC